RNAcentral lists this non-coding RNA (42 nucleotides) under Compsopogon caeruleus. The record is from RNAcentral. Lineage: Eukaryota; Rhodophyta; Compsopogonophyceae; Compsopogonales; Compsopogonaceae.
UUUGUCGGUCCUUUUUUUUUUUUUUUUUUUUUUUUGGGUUUC